GCGCUUGCUUCGGCAGCACAUAUACUAAAAUCAGAAUGAUACAGAGAAAAUUAAUGUGGCCCUUAGGCAAGGAUGACACUCAAAUUUGUGAAGUGUUCCAUAUUUUA
Small nuclear RNA from Lutra lutra (Eurasian river otter), 107 nucleotides. NCBI's taxonomy places the organism in Eukaryota, Metazoa, Chordata, Mammalia, Carnivora, Mustelidae. The record is from RefSeq and is a predicted model, not a curated record.